AUUAUACUCCCUCCGUCCGAAAACACUUGUCAUCAAAAUGGACAAAACUAGAUGUAUCUAAAACUAAAAUACAUCUAGAUACAUCCCUUUUAUCCAUUUUGAUGACAAGUAUUUUCGGACGGAGGGAGUAUAUA
Triticum aestivum (bread wheat) is the source of this 134-nucleotide non-coding RNA. The record is from Rfam. NCBI's taxonomy places the organism in Eukaryota, Viridiplantae, Streptophyta, Magnoliopsida, Poales, Poaceae.